RNAcentral lists this long non-coding RNA (761 nucleotides) under Brachypodium distachyon (stiff brome). RNAcentral's name for it is "long non-coding RNA (BDIS_LNC001427)". Lineage: Eukaryota; Viridiplantae; Streptophyta; Magnoliopsida; Poales; Poaceae. The record is from RNAcentral.
UUGGGGAUGGUUCUGCCUCGCGGGGCUUCGAUUGUUUCGGGAAGGAGUCGACCGAUGCUUUAGUUUGCAGUCUCUGCGUGCGCGCACCUGGUUCGCUGCAGUGUGUCCAACCUUGCAUGCACAUCAGUGGAUGGAUGGAUGGAUGGACUGAUUGAUUUGAGCCCAUCGGCGGGCUACAAGCGGCGCAAAUUAACACGGGUUGUCAACAUGAUUAGGGAAGAAACGUUUGUUGUCACGACAUGAUUCCACGGAACUUCCACCGGAUCGUCGCGUGAAUAAGAAACUGAUGGCAACAUGGAAACAAUCCGCCUCAGGAGCCUGCGCUUGGAGUUCGGAACAGAUUUUUUUCCCCUUUUUAUUUUUUACGAACACUUUUCAUACUUUAUGCCAUCGCCAAGUUACAUUUUUCGUACUACUGCUUAUCACAUGGGAGUCAAACAUAAGUUCCAGCUAGCUUACGUGCCGUUCCUAGGAAACAUGAAACUGAGCCACUGAAACUGGAGUCCUGCUCUGUUCUCCAGCAACUACCCAUUUUCAGCAGUCGGCCUGCCAGUCAGUCACUCUACAUAUAUAACACUCUCUGCAGUGAACUGCCGAGGAGAGUAGGUAAGCUAGCUGAUCAGCAUGCAUGCAUGCAUGUCACGUAACUUUACUUAGGUGAGGUUGGAGUAGGCCUGAAACUGCAGUGCCAAAGCUGCUGAAAUAAAUGUGGCAAGAAAGCUGUGAAAAUAAAUUACUAGCAAACAGUAUUGUCCACCAAG